ACGGGAGGCAGCAGUGAGGAAUAUUGGUCAAUGGACGAGAGUCUGAACCAGCCAAGUAGCGUGCAGGAUGACGGCCCUAUGGGUUGUAAACUGCUUUUGUACGGGGAUAAAGUGACCUACGUGUAGGUUUUUGCAUGUACCGUAAGAAUAAGGACCGGCUAAUUCCGUGCCAGCAGCCGCGGUAAUACGGAAGGUCCGGGCGUUAUCCGGAUUUAUUGGGUUUAAAGGGAGCGUAGGCCGUGCUUUAAGCGUGUUGUGAAAGGUAGGCGCCCAACGUCUGCACUGCAGCGCGAACUGGAGCACUUGAGUACGGAGGAAGUAGGCGGAAUUCGUCGUGUAGCGGUGAAAUGCUUAGAUAUGACGAAGAACUCCGAUUGGGAAGGCAGCUUACUGGAGCGCCACUGACGCUGAUGCUCGAAAGCGUGGGUAUCGAACAGGAUUAGAUACCCUGGUA
This 454-nucleotide ribosomal RNA is filed under the name uncultured Prevotella sp. Its description in RNAcentral is "partial 16S ribosomal RNA". It matches the Rfam family "Bacterial small subunit ribosomal RNA", at positions 341 to 792 of the family's 1533-position model. The record is from RNAcentral. Lineage: Bacteria; Pseudomonadati; Bacteroidota; Bacteroidia; Bacteroidales; Prevotellaceae.